AUUGAACGCUGGCGGCAGGCCUAACACAUGCAAGUCGAACGGUAACAGGAAGACGCUUGCUUCUUUGCUGACGAGUGGCGGACGGGUGAGUAAUGUCUGGGAAACUGCCUGAUGGGGGGGGAUAACUACUGGAAACGGUAGCUAAUACCGCAUAACGUCGCAAGACCAAAGAGGGGGACCUUCGGGCCUCUUGCCAUCGGAUGUGCCCAGAUGGGGUUAGCUAGUAGGUGGGGUAACGGCUCACCUAGGCGACGAUCCCUAGCUGGUCUGAGAGGAUGACCAGCCACACUGGAACUGAGACACGGUCCAGACUCCUACGGGAGGCAGCAGUGGGGAAUAUUGCACAAAGGGCGCAAGCCUGAUGCAGCCAUGCCGCGUGUAUGAAGAAGGCCUUCGGGUUGUAAAGUACUUUCAGCGGGGAGGAAGGGAGUAAAGUUAAUACCUUUGCUCAUUGACGUUACCCGCAGAAGAAGCACCGGCUAACUCCGUG
Molecule: ribosomal RNA, 490 nt
Filed under: uncultured bacterium
Lineage: Bacteria
Description: partial 16S ribosomal RNA
Rfam family: Bacterial small subunit ribosomal RNA
Source: RNAcentral